This 257-nucleotide ribosomal RNA is filed under the name uncultured bacterium. RNAcentral's name for it is "partial 16S ribosomal RNA". It matches the Rfam family "Bacterial small subunit ribosomal RNA", at positions 524 to 777 of the family's 1533-position model. The record is from RNAcentral.
UACGUAGGGUGCAAGCGUUAUCCGGAAUUAUUGGGCGUAAAGAGCUCGUAGGCGGUUUGUCGCGUCUGCUGUGAAAACUGGAGGCUCAACCCCCAGCCUGCAGUGGGUACGGGCAGACUAGAGUGCGGUAGGGGAGAUUGGAAUUCCUGGUGUAGCGGUGGAAUGCGCAGAUAUCAGGAGGAACACCGAUGGCGAAGGCAGAUCCUCUGGGCCGUAACUGACGCUGAGGAGCGAAAAGCAUGGGGGAGCGAACAGGG